CAGCGAGCUUGGUUAGUAGUGCGGUGGCGUUAGGGUCGCCGGAAGCGGUACUUUUAAUAAAGUUCGCCAGGUUUAACGCCUGGCUUGCCGG
RNAcentral lists this transfer RNA (91 nucleotides) under Betaproteobacteria bacterium. RNAcentral describes it as "tRNA-Pro". The record is from RNAcentral. Lineage: Bacteria; Pseudomonadati; Pseudomonadota; Betaproteobacteria.